GACGAACGCUGGCGGCGUGCCUAAUACAUGCAAGUAGAACGCUGAAGAGAGGAGCUUGCUCUUCUUGGAUGAGUUGCGAACGGGUGAGUAACGCGUAGGUAACCUGCCUGGUAGCGGGGGAUAACUAUUGGAAACGAUAGCUAAUACCGCAUAAAAUGGAUUAUCGCAUGAUAAUCCAUUGAAAGGUGCAAAUGCAUCACUACCAGAUGGACCUGCGUUGUAUUAGCUAGUUGGUGGGGUAACGGCUCACCAAGGCGACGAUACAUAGCCGACCUGAGAGGGUGAUCAGCCACACUGGGACUGAGACACGGCCCAGACUCCUACGGGAGGCAGCAGUAGGGAAUCUUCGGCAAUGGACGGAAGUCUGACCGAGCAACGCCGCGUGAGUGAAGAAGGGUUUCGGAUCGUAAAGCUCUGUUGUAAGAGAAGAACGAGUGUGAGAGUGGAAAGUUCACACUGUGACGGUAUCUUACCAGAAAGGGACGGCUAACUACGUG
RNAcentral lists this ribosomal RNA (497 nucleotides) under uncultured bacterium. RNAcentral describes it as "partial 16S ribosomal RNA". It matches the Rfam family "Bacterial small subunit ribosomal RNA", at positions 28 to 507 of the family's 1533-position model. The record is from RNAcentral.